UGCGUAGGCGGAUUAAUAAGUCAGUGGUGAAAUCUCUCGGCUCAACCGGGAAACUGCCAUUGAUACUGUUAAUCUUGAGUUCGGUUGAGGUAGGCGGAAUGUGUAAUGUAGCGGUGAAAUGCUUAGAUAUUACACAGAACACCAAUUGCGUAGGCAGCUUACUAGACCGACACUGACGUUGAGGCACGAAAGCGUGGGUAGCGAACCGGAUUAGAUACCCGAGUAGUCC
RNAcentral lists this ribosomal RNA (229 nucleotides) under uncultured bacterium. Its description in RNAcentral is "partial 16S ribosomal RNA". It matches the Rfam family "Bacterial small subunit ribosomal RNA", at positions 568 to 796 of the family's 1533-position model. The record is from RNAcentral.